CCUACGGGUGGCUGCAGUGAGGAAUUUUGCGCAAUGGCCGCAAGGCUGACGCAGCAACGCCGCGUGGGUGAAGAAGGCCUUCGGGUCGUAAAGCCCUGUCAGGUGGGAAGAAUGGCCUGAUGUUUAAUAGACAUCAGGAGUGACGGUACCACCAGAGGAAGCACCGGCUAACUCCGUGCCAGCAGCCGCGGUAAUACGGAGGGUGCAAGCGUGAGUCGGAAGUGCGGGGCGUGACGCGCGUGCAGGCGGUGAAAGCCCCGGGCUUAACCUGGGAAGUGCAGUGGAAGCUGUUGGUCUUGAGUGCUGGAGAGGAAGGGGGAAUUCCCGGUGGAGAGGUGAAAUUCGUAGAGAUCGGGAGGAAUACCAGUGGCGAAGGCGCCCUUCUGGACGGCAACUGACGCUGAGACGCGAAAGCGUGGGGAGCAAACAGGAUUAGAUACCCUUGUAGUC
RNAcentral lists this ribosomal RNA (450 nucleotides) under uncultured bacterium. Its description in RNAcentral is "partial 16S ribosomal RNA". It matches the Rfam family "Bacterial small subunit ribosomal RNA", at positions 338 to 795 of the family's 1533-position model. The record is from RNAcentral.